CGGGGGCUCACACAAGCGGUGGAGCAUGUGGAUCAAUUCGAAGCAACGCGAAGAACCUUACCUGGGUUUGACAUGCACGGAUGCUCUUCCUGAAAGGGGAGUAGGCUGCCUUCGGGUGAAACGUGCACAGGUGCUGCAUGGCUGUCGUCAGCUCGUGCUGUGAAGUGUCGGGUUAAGUCCCAUAACGAGCGAAACCCCUGUCGCUAGUUGCCAGCGGGUCAUGCCGGGUACUCUAGCGAGACUGCCGGUGUCAAACCGGAGGAAGGUGGGGACGACGUCAAGUCAUCAUGGCCUUUAUGUCCAGGGUGUCACACGUGCUACAAUGGGGCGGUACAGAGCGA
RNAcentral lists this ribosomal RNA (341 nucleotides) under uncultured bacterium. RNAcentral describes it as "bacterial SSU rRNA". It matches the Rfam family "Bacterial small subunit ribosomal RNA", at positions 914 to 1247 of the family's 1533-position model. The record is from RNAcentral.